GAGCGCGGCCGCGGACGAAGAUGGCGACCGCCAUGUACUUGGAGCACUAUCUGGACAGUAUCGAGAACCUUCCCUGCGAACUUCAGAGGAACUUCCAGCUGAUGCGAGAGCUGGACCAAAGGACAGAAGAUAAGAAAGCAGAGAUUGACAUCCUGGCUGCAGAGUACAUCUCCACGGUGAAGACGCUGUCUCCAGACCAGCGCGUGGAGCGCCUGCAGAAGAUCCAGAAUGCCUACAGCAAGUGCAAGGAAUACAGUGACGACAAAGUGCAGCUGGCCAUGCAGACCUACGAGAUGGUGGAUAAACACAUUCGAAGGCUUGAUGCAGACCUGGCGCGCUUUGAGGCAGAUCUGAAGGACAAGAUGGAGGGCAGUGAUUUUGAAAGCUCCGGAGGGCGAGGGUUAAAAAGCAAGUCUGUUAAAUUUUUUUCUUUAUUUUAUUACUGUUAACUAUGGAGUUUUGAAGAGUUUUGUCACGGUAAAUCAUUAAAGUACGAUCACUAGGGUAAGUAUCAUAUUUGGGUAAACCUUGUCUUGCAGGCUG
RNAcentral lists this small RNA (543 nucleotides) under Pongo abelii (Sumatran orangutan). Its description in RNAcentral is "retained intron". The record is from RNAcentral. Lineage: Eukaryota; Metazoa; Chordata; Mammalia; Primates; Hominidae.